This 253-nucleotide ribosomal RNA is filed under the name uncultured bacterium. RNAcentral describes it as "partial 16S ribosomal RNA". It matches the Rfam family "Bacterial small subunit ribosomal RNA", at positions 524 to 776 of the family's 1533-position model. The record is from RNAcentral.
UACGUAGGGGGCGAGCGUUGUCCGGAUUUACUGGGCGUAAAGCGCGCGUAGGCGGAACUUCAAGUCCGGUCUGAAAGCCCCCGGCUCAACCGGGGAGGGUGGCUGGAAACUGGGGUUCUUGAGGGCGAGAGAGGAGGGUGGAAUUCCUGGUGUAGCGGUGAAAUGCGUAGAGAUCAGGAGGAACACCCGGGGCGAAGGCGGCCCUCUGGCUCGACCCUGACGCUGAGGCGCGAAAGCGUGGGGAGCGAACAGG